UUUGGGAGGCUGAGACGGGAGGACCACUUGAGCCCAGGAGACCAAUCUGGGCAACAAAGUGAGACCCCCG
Molecule: microRNA precursor, 70 nt
Filed under: Cebus imitator (Panamanian white-faced capuchin)
Lineage: Eukaryota; Metazoa; Chordata; Mammalia; Primates; Cebidae
Description: miRNA (ENSCCAG00000011077.1)
Source: RNAcentral